UUGACCUCGGAUCAGGUAGGGAUACCCGCUGAACUUAAGCAUAUCAUAGCCGGAGGAA
RNAcentral lists this ribosomal RNA (58 nucleotides) under Coccomyces mucronatus. Its description in RNAcentral is "partial 28S ribosomal RNA". Lineage: Eukaryota; Fungi; Ascomycota; Leotiomycetes; Rhytismatales; Rhytismataceae. The record is from RNAcentral.